Molecule: long non-coding RNA, 278 nt
Filed under: Ananas comosus (pineapple)
Lineage: Eukaryota; Viridiplantae; Streptophyta; Magnoliopsida; Poales; Bromeliaceae
Description: long non-coding RNA (ACOM_LNC023043)
Source: RNAcentral
GGGGCUGAAGAGGCGGCGGCGGCCGCGGAGGGCGCCGUCGCGCCGUAUCUGGCGGCGGCGGAGAGGGAUCGCCUGGAAACCCUAAGCAUUUUCUCUUCGUCGUCCUCUCGAGGGUUUCAAGGGUUUGCGAUGGAGAAUGGAGGAGGAGAAUUAGGGUUUUAGGAGGGAGUUUAUGGAGAAAUGGGCUUUGCAGUGGAGCUGCUUAUAAUAUGGGGGGGAGCUUCUGGAUACAAGAAGGGCACGUAGGGUGCGGGGAUCCAACGGCUGCGAUUGUGCGA